This 510-nucleotide ribosomal RNA is filed under the name uncultured bacterium. RNAcentral describes it as "partial 16S ribosomal RNA". It matches the Rfam family "Bacterial small subunit ribosomal RNA", at positions 28 to 507 of the family's 1533-position model. The record is from RNAcentral.
GACGAACGCUGGCGGCGUGCUUAACACAUGCAAGUCGAACGAAGAGCGAUGGAAGCUUGCUUCUAUCAAUCUUAGUGGCGAACGGGUGAGUAACGCGUAAUCAACCUGCCCUUCAGAGGGGGACAACAGUUGGAAACGACUGCUAAUACCGCAUACGAUCUAAACUCGGCAUCGAGGAUAGAUGAAAGGUGGCCUCUACAUGUAAGCUAUCACUGAAGGAGGGGAUUGCGUCUGAUUAGCUAGUUGGAGGGGUAACGGCCCACCAAGGCGAUGAUCAGUAGCCGGUCUGAGAGGAUGAACGGCCACAUUGGGACUGAGACACGGCCCAGACUCCUACGGGAGGCAGCAGUGGGGAAUCUUCCGCAAUGGACGAAAGGCUGACGGAGCAACGCCGCGUGAGUGAUGACGGCCUUCGGGUUGUAAAGCUCUGUUAAUCGGGACGAAAGGCCUUCUUGCGAAUAGUGAGAAGGAUUGACGGUACCGGAAUAGAAAGCCACGGCUAACUACGUG